GAUGAACGCUGGCGGCGUGCCUAAUACAUGCAAGUCGAGCGAACGGACGAGAAGCUUGCUUCUCUGAUGUUAGCGGCGGACGGGUGAGUAACACGUGGAUAACCUACCUAUAAGACUUGGAUACCUUCGGGAAACCGGAGCUAAUACCGGAUACUAUUUUUAACCGCAUGGUUCAAGAGUGAAAGACGGUCUUGCUGUCACUUAUCGAUGGAUCAGCGCUGCAGUAGCUAGUUGGUAAGGUAACGGCUUACCAAGGCAACGAUGGAUAGCCGACAUGUGAGGGUGACGGCCGACACAGGGACUGAGCCACGACCCAGAGACCGACGGAAGGCCGCAGUAGCGAAGCGUCGGCAAUGGGCGGAAGCCUGACGGAGCGAUGCCGCGUGAAUGAUGAAGGGCCGCGGACCGUAAAACUCUGUUAUGAGGGAAGAACAUAUGCGUAAGUAACUGUGCACAUCUUGACGGUACCUAGUAAGAAAGCACCGGCUAACUACGUG
This 497-nucleotide ribosomal RNA is filed under the name uncultured bacterium. Its description in RNAcentral is "partial 16S ribosomal RNA". It matches the Rfam family "Bacterial small subunit ribosomal RNA", at positions 28 to 507 of the family's 1533-position model. The record is from RNAcentral.